GACGAACGCUGGCGGCGUGCUUAACACAUGCAAGUCGAACGGAAAGGCCCUGCUUUUGUGGGGUGCUCGAGUGGCGAACGGGUGAGUAACACGUGAGUAACCUGCCCUUGACUUUGGGGUAACUUCAGGAAACUGGGGCUAAUACCGGAUAGGAGCUCCUGCUGCAUGGUGGGGGUUGGAAAGUUUCGGCGGUUGGGGAUGGACUCGCGGCUUAUCAGCUUGUUGGUGGGGUAGUGGCUUACCAAGGCUUUGACGGGUAGCCGGCCUGAGAGGGUGACCGGCCACAUUGGGACUGAGAUAUGGCCCAGACUCCUACGGGAGGCAGCAGUGGGGAAUAUUGCACAAUGGGCGGAAGCCUGAUGCAGCAACGCCGCGUGCGGGAUGACGGCCUUCGGGUUGUAAACCGCUUUCGCCUGUGACGAAGCGUGAGUGACGGUAAUGGGUAAAGAAGCACCGGCUAACUACGUG
This 468-nucleotide ribosomal RNA is filed under the name uncultured bacterium. RNAcentral describes it as "partial 16S ribosomal RNA". It matches the Rfam family "Bacterial small subunit ribosomal RNA", at positions 28 to 507 of the family's 1533-position model. The record is from RNAcentral.